UGUGAUACCCAAAGUAAAAUUUUAUUAACAUCUUUAUUUUAUAAUAUAUAUAUUAUAUUUAUUGAGAUACAUGGUUAUUUUUUAUUUUUUUUUUAACAUUUAAGCCACUCAAAUAGUUGGAUUCGUGCAAUGAGCCAUGCAUGCUGCUUGUGUAUCAUAACAUUUUAAUAUUUCCGGUGCGUUGUUACAGCAAAUACAACGUCUUCCGGUACAUCCAAGGAGACGGACGCAUUUUCUGUCGAAUUCUAAACCAUCUGCAUUUCCCACUAUAUAAGAAAAAAUAGGAUUAAAAUUGCGAAUAUAAUUGUAUAUGCAUAGUUGCAAUGCCUGUCAUGAUAAAAUGAUGGAAAUUUGAAUAUAUUUUAUAUAUGCAUCAUUGCAUUAUACAUACAUUGAUGCAGAGGAACAAGAGAAAUCAUGAUGAGUGUAGGGUUAAGAUUAAAAGUAAAUGGAGGGUCGAGAUCAUUCUGUUUGAAUCCUAUAAGAGAAAGCUGCUAGAGACAAUUCAUUUAUUAUUCCUUUUGAUCAUCUUUCUGAAGAGUGAAGAAUCUCUGAUUGUGUUGCAGGUAAGAGGAGGAUUUGGUGUUUAAUUGAAAAUCCAUUUCCAUUAUCUUUACUUUGAAGUUGCUUAUGUAGAAUUGUUGAAUUAUGUUCUACUUGCGAGUGAAGUACGCGAGUCACAACGUUAUCUUUAUCUAUAAUCUUUGAUUGUGUUGAUUCUUACAGGAUAAGAUGAUGAUUUGUUGUUUAAGCUGUUUCUGUGGAAUUGUCGUUCUAUUAUUGUUCUUUGGAACUUCCAAAAUAGUUUUGAAUUUAUUUAGAUAAUGACGAGUUGAGAAAUAAAUUUGUGAUUGAUGGUUAAUUGAUAUUGUAGAAGAUACGUUCUCGAUAUCUCGUUCGUUCUCUACUCGAUCUCUAUCGCUCUCUCUCUCUCUCUCGCUCACUCGUGUGCUUACGCGAUUAGAAUGUAAAGAAAGUACAAAGACACAAGAUAUUAUAGAGUUCCCUUUAACCCUGGGUACUUCUCUCUUCAGGAUCUCCAUCCUGGAAUUCACUAGAUCAGUUUGUUUGUUACAGAAGAAGAUCUCACGAUACAAUCUUUAAUCAGUUGACAAUGACUUUAUAAAGCGUGAUCUCAGCUGACGCUCAGCUGUAUCUUCAUGGGCCAAAGCAUAAUAUCACCAUACCCAUUAUGUUUCUUCUGUCCCGAGAUUCCUGCGCGCUUUGCUGUCGAUCGAUGUCAAGAUGUGAACAUCGAACGAUUAUUCCUCUUCAAUGUCAACCGAUGGUCGUGUUCGAUGGUCAUCUCCGGGUGCUUACUCCAAAUAUCUCCAAAAAUGCUCCAAAAUCAUCACUUUCCUCCAAAUCACUCAUGAUCCUAUAAAUAUACUAAAUAGACUCUAUAAUAUAAUAAUUAGUAGUUAAAACACUUAUAAACCAUGGGUAAAAGUGGGUCAAAUCCAUGGUCUAUCAACUCCCCCAGACUUACCUUUUUGCUUGUCCUCAAACAAAACAUACAUGUCGUCUCUCUGAAAGUUGAAAACAGCAGGGUCUCACAAAUUUUAAAACUUAGAACCAACACCUUAGAAAGUCCUAGUCUCAGAAGCACACUAUACCAUAUCCUAGUAUAGCAACCAAGUUCAUCUAGUCAACAACUUAGCAAAUCAUGUCUGACAAUCUAUUCUACCAACCACAAUUCUUACAUAAAUAAAGUGUAGGUUUAACCUUGGGGGUAUCGAUCACAUGAUGCAAGGAUGCUCAAACAAGUAUCUGGACCUGCAGGUAAAUAAUAGUUCAUAUCCUCUCUCUCUCUCUCUCUACUAAUUUCUCCCCUAGUCAAAAUCUUCUUAAUUGCAAGAUUAUUGACCAAUGUUGGAUAUGCUUCCAUGAAUCAAGCUUUAAUGGUUUUAGCCAUCAAAUCAUGUUCACUUCUUUUUGACCUAUUUCCUAGAAUUAUUUGUGAAUCAAGCCUUAAUGGUUGUAGCCAUCAAGUCAUGUUCUAAUCCUUUACCUAUAGAAUUCUUAUGAAGCAAGCCUUAAUAGUUGUAGCCACCAAGUCAUGUUCGAUUUUUUUCCUAAAUUUCUCUAUUUCUAAUUAUAAAUAUAAAUAAUAAUAAUUUUUUUUAAUAUAAAAACCUAAAUUCGAAAUUUAAGAGAGAGAUGGUGAUAUUUUUACACAAGGCUUUACCUUCCAGACUUGUUUGAAGAAUCCGAUCUCAUAUAUACCAAACCCCAAGACAAGCAGAGUUGAGCUCAAUUAAGUUGGAGGUCAGCUUUGGUUCCUUAAAUCAUUCUCAGCAAGUGUAACAUAGUUGACAGGUUGAUCCACUUUGGUAUCGUUAGUGUUAUCUGCAACUUGAAGUCUAUAAUGGUGUGGUUAGAUAAUAAACAAAAAUCAAAAAAGUUCAUUAUCCCCUUCUCAACUCAAUAAAAACUUUUUUUGAAAAUAUUUUAUUAAGACUAAUGAAUAAACUAAUAUCAGUGAACAUCCCCCCAUACUUAAACUACACUGUCCCCAGUGUAAAUUCAGUCGAAGUUAUGUGAAUAACUAAAGCAUAAGGACUCAAUGUAACAAGUUAAGAACGAUAUACCAGAACGAAUUAGAUGUCGAUCGAUGUAAAUGUGUUGACAUCGGUCACAGCAGGUGAUGUUCUGUCGCUCGAUGUCAGCAGUGGUUCGUCGGUCGAUACUCAUAGUAAUCAUCUACUCUGAUCUUUUUUUUUUGUUUUUUCUUACCUGCAAUAAUUAAAAACCAGCAUAAAUACUAAAUUAAUAAAGAUCAAUUAAAUAUUAUCUAAUAGUGGGUUGCCUCCCACUCAGCGCUUUGUUAUAGUCAUUUAGCUUAACUUUGGAGGCAAUUUGGCUAGUAAUGUUGAAAGCUGGAACUCGCUGGGAAACAAGUGUCCAUCUUUUCUUUGCGCUUGUUGAACCAUGUACCAGUGAAGUCUCGCAUUGCUUCAUCUCCUCUGUGCCAUUUGUCCUUCAUUGUUGCAGUUGUUUUCUCUAUCUUCUGCAAUCUAUCUUUAAGACUUUCAAAGUUGAACUGAUGUCUCAUAAGUGUGGCGUAAGUGUCAGCUGAGAUCUCCUCUCCAUGGUUGUGUGUAUCAGACAUGUCUGAUUUCACCUUUGGUACUAGCCUGCCUCGGUUUGUAGCUUCGUCGACCGAUGUUCGUCUGCGACUGUCGGUUGAUUUGUUGUUGCGUCUGUCGAUCGAUGUUGAUGUUUCUGGUCGACGAGCUUUGUAUCACUGUAAGGUCCAUCGGGAAAUAGAUGUCAUCACAUCUCCUAUCAAGCCUUUCUUCUGUAGUUUCCAGAGUUUUAUAGAUCUUUUCUACCAACUGAUCAAUGUCUGCUCUCGUGUAAGAAUCUGGUUGAGACUUCAUCGGAUGUGAGUGGUGUGGUCGUCAUCGAUCGAUGUUGAAUGGUGUAUGUCGGUCGAUGAUGGUGCGGUUGCUUCGGCUGCACGCUGUGUUUGGGUCUUGACUAUGUCUUGCCUCAUCUCCUCCAUGCAUGUGGUUAACCAACUGAUGCUAUCAUUCAGUAGAUAGUAGACACCAUCAAGCUUCAUCUGUAAAUCAUCUUCAUUCUUUUUUUGGGCUCCACAGACUCCAUAGAACAUCUCAUUGAUCUCGUCCUUGGUGUAGAUCUAUGGUACCAACUUGGUCUGUGUGGAUGAGCUAGCAUGUUUUGGAAGACAUAUGUAGCUGUGCUCAUCUCUCGAAGCUCUCUUCAAAAGACUUCUGAUAUCAUCCUUGGAUACUUUGAUGAUGUGUCUGUCUACAUCUCUGGCAUGUCUCUGAUCAUCUCUGUAGACUCCAUACUCAUCUUUUUCUUCCAAGUGGAAUCUCUUAGUUCCAUAACGGUCAUAUGCUCUUUUGCCAAAUUCUGGACGUCUGUCAAUCGAUGAAGGGACGUUAACGUCGAUCGACGGUCGAGUAGGAUGUCUAUACUUCUGCUUGAGGCAAUUGUCUAUGCCACCAGCUGUGUCAUAGAACUCGUUUGUAAUCCUAUGCUGAUGUGCUGGACUGUUGCAUUGUUGCAUGAAGAGUUUAUCUGCUCCAUUAGCCAUCUGAAGAAUGUCUGCAAUGUCUUCUCUGGAUACUUGCAGUGCAUGUCCACCUAUUGCUCUUCCAUAGCCAUCUGGGUCCCUGAAAAUACCAAACUCAUCAUGUGUUAGAUAUUGAUUAUCAUAAUUAGGGUUUUCGCUACAGUGGAUGGUGGUUUCGGACGGAUGUCGAUCGUUGAUGGAUGUUUGUCGUCGAUUGACGGGCGGUUGGCUCUGUCGAAAGUAUGGCUGAAACGUGUUCUUUCCCCAGAAGCUUCUGCUUGGUGUUGAUCUGCUUCAUCACAUCUUUGCAUGUUGAGAAGUUCCUCAUAUGUGAAACCUUCAUGAAGUUCAUCUGCUCCUGGCUCAUGUACUGCUGUUUUGACUGCAUAACUUUCGUGAUGGUGAUCAUUAGCCCAACUGCCAAUCGAGUAAUCCCCUUCUCGUGCACGGUCGACUCCUGUGUCGAUCGAUGGGUAGUAGGUAAUGUCGGUUGAUGCUCGAUUUUGGCUUGUCUGACGAAGAUGAGUGUCGAUCGAUGUUGAGACAAUUAUGUCGAUCGACGGCGAAUUCCCUUUCCAAGAGGAAUGAUGGAGAGGUAGAUGUUCCUCAUCAAGAAUGGCUAUGUACUCUAUAACUCAUUCCUCCUCACAAUCUUCAUCAUACUCCUCUGUAUGCAUGGUGUCUCUGGUGUGUGUUGCCAUGGUGGGAUUGUAGUAGUCGUUCUCCCAAUCGCUUGGACUACUGUCGACCGAUUCUUCCUUCGGACUGUCGAUCGGUUUCUGGUGGGCACUGUCGAUCGAUGUGGUGGUGUGAGUUUCGAUCGACACCGAAUAUCCUGUCUCAUACUCGGCUCCACAGUGGCAUGCUGCGAUGAAAACUGGAUCAUCUAUUUUUCUGGAGGACGUUUUUUGGCUUCUUAACUGGAACAUGGUUGUAGUGGACAUGAGGAUCUAUGAGCGUCAGUUACAACUGGUUGGUUUGUAUGUUGCACACUGCUCCUACUGUUGACAAGAAGGCUCUCCCAAGUAAUAAAGAAGAAUUCCAGUUUAGCUUGAUAUCCAAGACAUGGAAAUCAACUGGAACUAGGGCAUUACAAAUAUGCACCUCUAGGUCUCUUACAAUUCCUCCUGAGCUCAUCUGAGAACAAUCCACAAAAGUGAAUGACUCCUUGGAAGGCUCCACCUACAGAACCAGAUGGUCAUGCAAACCUGUCCAAAUAUCUCAGUCAAUUAAAAAAAUAAAAUGAUAUCAUUUAUAAAAGAGAGACAUGACUGAGAGAAGUGAGAACAUAAAAAGGAAAGAAACUUGAAAAUACUACCUGUGUGUUCAAAAACUUGCUUGAGUAAGAGUCCAUUUGUCUUUUGAUCGAUAAUCCCAAGAUAAAGCAGGAUCCUAUCUAUUUUAACCUUUACGCUACCCUUUUGUUUACUACAUAUGCCACUCAUUUACAAAGGAAAUCACUAGCUUCAUGAAGGGUAAUUCCAUAAACUAAUACUCUACGAUUUAUCACAACUCUAUUGGGUCUUAUGUAGUUUUCUUGUUCGGUAACUGGAUACUGGAUAAAAGCCCACACACUGGAUACUGUACAUGAAUUGUAUCAACACUAUAAAUAAUGUCAUCUCUGUAAAAUCUAAAACAUAGACUGUUUCAUACUAAUGUAAAAGAAUACAAAGAUUCAAGAAACAACUUAUAUUUAAUAUUAAAGUCAUGGUGUUAUUCAUAUAAGAAUGAAAUUCAUAAUCUUUAUAUCUGGAAUUGGUAAAUUAAUCUUCAAAGUUUUAAUAUUUCUGAAAAAAAAUCUUUAGAUUAAAAAUGAAACAAACAGUUAACUAAUCAAAUUAACUCUUUCUGACUAACUAAGUAAAAUAAUAUAGUGGGUUUUUUUAGUUAAUUGCAAUGAAUGUUUUUAUAAGUCUAUUACAUAAGCUGCAUAUUAAUAUAUUAUAACUUGAAAAAGAGCCAGAGAAAGUCUCCAUAAAACAUGACGGCUAGAGUUUCAGGAGGCGAUCUUAGGGUUUUGGAGGAGGAAGGAAAAAAUAUGCUACUAUGGAGGAUAUCAGAGAAAAGAGAAGGCCACCGUGAGAGCCGCCAGAUGCUCCUGGAUCUUGGGUGAGGAAAGUAGUAGGGUGCAAUGAGGGAUGGAUGCUUGUCCCAGAGGAAGUUGUGGAUGAAAAGUUUGUGGAGUCGAGAUUAAGAUUGGAAUUUCCGAAUGGGGAGGAUGGAGAACCGGUGAUAACGAUAGGAGAGGAGGUGUUGACGGCUAUGAAUGGCUUGUGGAAGAGAUAUAUGAUCGUUAGUGUUCUGGGGAGAAACGUCCCGAUCUUGAGUCUGAGUUGAAAGAUAAAGGAGUUAUGGAAGCCUAAAGGGUCGAUGUUUGUUAUGGAUCUUCCCAGACACUUCUUUAUGGUACGCUUUAAGUUGGAGGAGGAGUACAUGGCUGCACUAUCAGGUGGCUCGUGGAGGGCGUUUGGCAGUUACCUUAUGGCACAAGCAUGGUCUCCUGUGUUCGACCCGUUGAAGGAUGAGAUAGUUACGACACCGGUUUGGAUUCGUUUAUCACAUAUUCCAGUGAAUUUCUACCAUAAGACGAUACUGAUGGGAAUAGCCAAAGGUUUAGGGCGGCCGAUCAAAGUAGAUUUGACAACUUUAAAAUUUAAAAGAGCUAGAUAUGCGAGAAUUUGUGUGGAGGUAAAUUUUAAUAAGCCAUUGAAGGAGACAGUGAUGGUGAAUGGUGAGAGGUAUUUUGUUUCAUAUGAAGGAAUCUCUUCUAUUUGUUCGACAUGUGGUAUGUACAUGUCAAACAUUAAUUCUAAUGAUUGAUAUUUAUUUGUUCGACAUGUAGUAUGUACAUGCAAUUCUAAUGAUUGAUAUCUAUGUAAUCAUCCUAGCAAUUCAAUAGUUUUGGCUAAUGCAUCAAAACAUUAAUUAAUCCUAAAUCUAACAAGGGAAACUACUCAGAUAUGAUAAAGCAAAACAUAUCAAUAGUCUUAAUAUAAUGAAUAAAUAGAAUAGAGUAAUAAAUCAAUGGAGUUCCAAUACAAGUUCUGAAGGAGUUUUGGAUCUUCGUUACAAAUCUACUGAAAACCCUAAAACUAUAUGAUGUGAAUAAAGAUAUAAAACAUUGCAUUUUUCCUAAUACAAUGGCAGACACAUAAAUACUAGGUAAAAGGCGGCCAAUGGUAGUCUUAUAAUUAUGUGGAUCUUCUGGGCUUAAGUUGGCCACGAACAAGUCGGCUCGUCUUAGCACGUCACCAUCGAUUGACGACGAGAGGUUUGUGCGGAUCGAUAUUAUACCUGUUUGUGUGGAAGUAUGAGGAAAAGUAACGAGGAACAUGGUAGUAUAUAGUAGGGGAAACUUUAGCGAGAAAGAAAAGCUUAAGAUAUUUUUUUAUUGAGAAGCUUAAAACCAUGUACAAACUGCAAGUAGAGAAAAAAAGAGCAGAUCAAGAAUACAAAUUACAAAGAAAAAGAAGAGAGAAAAUGUGAAUGUCGAAGCAUGUCAACAGUGUUGCACACAACGACAAAAUCAUUUUUUUUUCUGCUACACAAAUCUGUAUUAUUCUUAAUCAUACGUAUAUUAUAAAUUAGAUGCUAGAUAUAUAUAUAUAAAUAUAUUGUGAUACCCAAAGUAAAAUUUUAUUAACAUCUUUAUUUUAUAAUAUAUAUAUUAUAUUUAUUGAGAUACAUGGUUAUUUUUUAUUUUUUUUUUAACAUUUAAGCCACUCAAAUAGUUGGAUUCGUGCAAUGAGCCAUGCAUGCUGCUUGUGUAUCAUAACAUUUUAAUAUUUCCGGUGCGUUGUUACAGCAAAUACAACGUCUUCCGGUACAUCCAAGGAGACGGACGCAUUUUCUGUCGAAUUCUAAACCAUCUGCAUUUCCCACUAUAUAAGAAAAAAUAGGAUUAAAAUUGCGAAUAUAAUUGUAUAUGCAUAGUUGCAAUGCCUGUCAUGAUAAAAUGAUGGAAAUUUGAAUAUAUUUUAUAUAUGCAUCAUUGCAUUAUACAUACAUUGAUGCAGAGGAACAAGAGAAAUCAUGAUGAGACACAUGAUAGCAAGAUGUGAUGAUGACAUAAUCCUAAUACUCUUCUAAUUAAUGAUGUGUUUGUUUUCUAAUUGAUGGUUGUAUUUUCUAGGGACGUACAG
This 8190-nucleotide long non-coding RNA is filed under the name Brassica napus (rape). RNAcentral describes it as "long non-coding RNA (BNAP_LNC005774)". The record is from RNAcentral. Lineage: Eukaryota; Viridiplantae; Streptophyta; Magnoliopsida; Brassicales; Brassicaceae.